ACGCAAUAGAUACCCCGGUAGUCCACGCCCUAAACGAUGUCUACUAGUUGUCGGGUCUUAAUUGACUUGGUAAACGCAGCUAAACGCGUGAAGUAGACCGCCUGGGGAGUACGGUCGCAAGAUUAAAACUCAAAGGAAUUGACGGGGACCCGCACAAGCGGUGGAUGAUGUGGAUUAAUUCGAUGCAACGCGAAAAACCUUACCUACCCUUGACAUGGAUGGAAUCCCUGAGAAAUUGGGGAGUGCCCGAAAGGGAACCAUUACACAGGUGCUGCAUGGCUGUCGUCAGCUCGUGUCGUGAGAUGUUGGGUUAAGUCCCGCAACGAGCGCAACCCUUGUCAUUAGUUGCUACGAAAGGGCACUCUAAUGAGACUGCCGGUGACAAACCGGAGGAAGGUGGGGAUGACGUCAAGUCCUCAUGGCCCUUAUGGGUAGGGCUUCACACGUCAUACAAUGGUACAUACAGAGGGCCGCCAACCCGCGAGGGGGAGCUAAUCCCAGAAAGUGUAUCGCAGUCCGGAUUGUAGUCUGCAACUCG
Molecule: ribosomal RNA, 538 nt
Filed under: uncultured bacterium
Lineage: Bacteria
Description: bacterial SSU rRNA
Rfam family: Bacterial small subunit ribosomal RNA
Source: RNAcentral